UAUGUGAUCGUCUCUCGCAUAUCAAUAAGCGGAGGAAAAGAAACUAACAAGGAUUCUCCUAGUAACGGCGAGUGAAGCGGGAAGAGCUCAAAUUUGAAAUCUUAAAGGGUUUCCCUUUACGAAUUGUAGUUUAAAGGAAGUGUUUUCUGUUGAGGUUUUGGUAAAAGUUCUUUGGAAUAGGACAUCAUAGAGGGUGAGAAUCCCGUAUUUGACCUUUACUUUCAACUUUGUGAUACACUUUCAAAGAGUCGGAUUGUUUGGGAAUGCAGUCCAAAAUGGGUGGUAAAUUUCAUCUAAAGCUAAAUAUUGGCGAGAGACCGAUAGCGAACAAGUACCGUGAGGGAAAGAUGAAAAGAACUUUGAAAAGAGAGUUAAACAGUACGUGAAAUUGUCAAAAGGGAAGCGUUUGACACCAGUGUUGUUUUUCUGAAAAUCAAUUAAAGAACUGUUUAUGCUAAGUUGUUUAGACUUUAUCAGCUAUCUGUUUAGUUUUGAGCUUUUCUUUAAUGCACUUUUCAGUUAACAAGUCAACAUCAAUUUCUUUUGCUGUAAUAAAGCUUGAGGAAGGUGGCUUGAGAUUCGUCUUAAGUGUUUAUAGCCUCUUGCCUAUGCAGUCGGAGAGAUUGAGGUCUGCAGCGUAGAUCCUUCGGGGCUAAAUGCAUUUGUGCUAAGUUAUAGCAUUUUAUAGACAACUUGUUGACUAUGAUUUGUCUUGUAGCUUACUCGCUUAUGUUAUUUUACCUACGCUUAGGAUGUUGAAGAUAUGCGCGACACG
This 775-nucleotide ribosomal RNA is filed under the name uncultured Neocallimastigales. RNAcentral's name for it is "partial large subunit ribosomal RNA". It matches the Rfam family "Eukaryotic large subunit ribosomal RNA", at positions 24 to 644 of the family's 3401-position model. Lineage: Eukaryota; Fungi; Neocallimastigomycota; Neocallimastigomycetes; Neocallimastigales. The record is from RNAcentral.